Molecule: ribosomal RNA, 253 nt
Filed under: uncultured bacterium
Lineage: Bacteria
Description: partial 16S ribosomal RNA
Rfam family: Bacterial small subunit ribosomal RNA
Source: RNAcentral
UACGAAGGGUCCAAGCGUUGUUCGGAAUGACUGGGCGUAAAGGGCGCGUAGGCGGCCGCUUGCGUCGGAUGUGAAAGCCCGGGGCUCAACCCCGGAACGGCAUCCGAUACGGGGCGGCUCGAGACCGAGAGAGGUGAGUGGAAAACCCAGUGUAGAGGUGAAAUUCGUAGAUAUUGGGUGGAACACCGGUGGCGAAAGCGGCUCACUGGCUCGGUUCUGACGCUGAGGCGCGAAAGCGUGGGGAGCAAACAGG